AAGACAACUAAAAACAAAGACUUUGGAUUUUAGGUGAACAGUGCUAUAAGCGUCAUGACACAAGAUUUAAAUUUUGCUAUCUGCUCCACUUCAUUACUUGAGUGCCAUUGAGCAACUAAAUUGAAUUUCUCUGUUACAACCAUGAUUGUGCAAUACUGAUCGASUGAACUUUACGUCUGAAUAGUUUCUACUUUGCGUCCCAGCUGACWUGACACUUGCACCACAACUUAAAGAAUUUACUGUUUUACGUUACAAACACUCAGCUGCCCUUCUGAGCUGAAGAGCACUCGGCUUGACGAUCCCAUGACCCCUCCAGAGGCUUCACCAGAUAACAUUACAUCAACAGGUCACAGGAUGGAUCACAGGAUGAACGAACCAUGAGGGUUUGUUGGUUGUUGACCACCAUCUGUCCCCGUGUUUGUUCUCCCAUCACUCACUAGGAUAAGAGACUAAUCUGCUGUAGUAGACCUAUUCUUAGUCUGACGGCACCUCACACAUGUUGGGAAACUGAAGAAACUGCAACUAUGGAUGAGUGACAAAUUACAGGAAAAGCAGGAUGUGAGACAACAUAUGGAGGAAGCCCCUGGGAACGCAGGGAGCUGGAGGAGUGCGGAGCUUCAGAGCAAAGACGUAUAAAACAGGAGGAAGCCUGCAGAGCUGCAUUACUGAACUAAARAUCAGGGGACCGAUGAUCAUCCUCAGUUCAGGGCUGGACUGUAAUCAAACCAAGUCAGCGUGACGGGUGCAUGACGCUCCCAGUUACGACUGUCUAGGGGUG
Austrofundulus limnaeus is the source of this 778-nucleotide long non-coding RNA. RefSeq lists it as uncharacterized. NCBI's taxonomy places the organism in Eukaryota, Metazoa, Chordata, Actinopteri, Cyprinodontiformes, Rivulidae. The transcript is spliced from 3 exons. The record is from RefSeq and is a predicted model, not a curated record.